RNAcentral lists this ribosomal RNA (465 nucleotides) under Vreelandella stevensii. RNAcentral describes it as "partial 16S ribosomal RNA". It matches the Rfam family "Bacterial small subunit ribosomal RNA", at positions 338 to 795 of the family's 1533-position model. Lineage: Bacteria; Pseudomonadati; Pseudomonadota; Gammaproteobacteria; Oceanospirillales; Halomonadaceae. The record is from RNAcentral.
CCUACGGGAGGCUGCAGUGGGGAAUAUUGGACAAUGGGCGAAAGCCUGAUCCAGCCAUGCCGCGUGUGUGAAGAAGGCCUUCGGGUUGUAAAGCACUUUCAGUGGGGAAGAAAGCCUUGGGGCUAAUACCCUCGAGGAAGGACAUCACCCACAGAAGAAGCACCGGCUAACUCCGUGCCAGCAGCCGCGGUAAUACGGAGGGGGCGAGCGUUAAUCGGAAUUACUGGGCGUAAAGCGCGCGUAGGCGGUCUGAUAAGCCGGUUGUGAAAGCCCCGGGCUCAACCUGGGAACGGCAUCCGGAACUGUCAGGCUAGAGUGCAGGAGAGGAAGGUAGAAUUCCCGGUGUAGCGGUGAAAUGCGUAGAGAUCGGGAGGAAUACCAGUGGCGAAGGCGGCCUUCUGGACUGACACUGACGCUGAGGUGCGAAAGCGUGGGUAGCAAACAGGAUUAGAUACCCGAGUAGUC